This 397-nucleotide ribosomal RNA is filed under the name uncultured bacterium. RNAcentral's name for it is "partial 16S ribosomal RNA". It matches the Rfam family "Bacterial small subunit ribosomal RNA", at positions 523 to 918 of the family's 1533-position model. The record is from RNAcentral.
AUACGUAGGUGGCAAGCGUUGUCCGGAAUUAUUGGGCGUAAAGCGCGCGCAGGCGGUCCUUUAAGUCUGAUGUGAAAGCCCACGGCUCAACCGUGGAGGGUCAUUGGAAACUGGGGGACUUGAGUGCAGAAGAGGAAAGUGGAAUUCCAAGUGUAGCGGUGAAAUGCGUAGAGAUUUGGAGGAACACCAGUGGCGAAGGCGACUUUCUGGUCUGUAACUGACGCUGAGGCGCGAAAGCGUGGGGAGCAAACAGGAUUAGAUACCCUGGUAGUCCACGCCGUAAACGAUGAGUGCUAAGUGUUAGGGGGUUUCCGCCCCUUAGCGCUGCAGCUAACGCAUUAAGCACUCCGCCUGGGGAGUACGGUCGCAAGACUGAAACUCAAAUGAAUUGACGGGG